RNAcentral lists this ribosomal RNA (432 nucleotides) under uncultured bacterium. RNAcentral describes it as "bacterial SSU rRNA". It matches the Rfam family "Bacterial small subunit ribosomal RNA", at positions 29 to 507 of the family's 1533-position model. The record is from RNAcentral.
AGCGAACGCUGGCGGCAGGCUUAACACAUGCAAGUCGAACGCCAUCUUCGGAUGGAGUGGCAGACGGGUGAGUAACGCGUGGGAACGUACCCUUGGUUCGGAAUAUUCUCGGGAAACUGGGAGCAAUACCGGAUAAGCCCUACGGGGGAAAGAUUUAUCGCCAAAGGAGCGGCCCGCGUCAGAUUAGGUAGUUGGUGGGGUAAAGGCCUACCAAGCCUACGAUCUGUAGCUGGUCUGAGAGGAUGAUCAGCCACACUGGGACUGAGACACGGCCCAGACUCCUACGGGAGGCAGCAGUGGGGAAUCUUGGACAAUGGGCGCAAGCCUGAUCCAGCCAUGCCGCGUGGAUGAUGAAGGCCUUAGGGUUGUAAAAUCCUUUCAACGGGGACGAUAAUGACGGUACCCGUAGAAGAAGCCCCGGCUAACUUCGUG